RNAcentral lists this ribosomal RNA (497 nucleotides) under uncultured bacterium. RNAcentral describes it as "partial 16S ribosomal RNA". It matches the Rfam family "Bacterial small subunit ribosomal RNA", at positions 28 to 507 of the family's 1533-position model. The record is from RNAcentral.
GAUGAACGCUAGCGGCGUGCCUAAUACAUGCAAGUCGAGCGAACAGACGAUGAUCUUGCUCCUCUGACGUUAGCGGCGGACGGGUGAGUAACACGUGUAUAACCUACCUAUAAGACUGGUAUAACUUCGGGAAACCGGAUCUAAUACCGGAUAAUAUAUUGAACCGCGUGGGUCAAUAGUGAAAUACGGUUUUGCUGUCACUUAUAGAUGGAUCCGCGCCGCUUUAGCUAGUUGGUAAGGUAACGGCUUACCAAGGCAACGAUGCGUAGCCGACCUGAGAGGGGGAUAGGCCACCUGGGAAGUGAGACACGGUCCAGACUACUGAGGGAGGCAGCAGAAGGGAAUCUUACGCAAUGGGCGAAAGCAUGACGGAGCAACGGGGAGUGAGUGAUGAAGGUGCUGGGAUCGUAAAGAUCUGUUAUUAGGGAAGAACCAAUGUGUAAGGAACCAUGCCGGUAUUGACGGUACCUAGUCAGAAAGCAACGGCUAACUACGUG